This 253-nucleotide ribosomal RNA is filed under the name uncultured bacterium. RNAcentral describes it as "partial 16S ribosomal RNA". It matches the Rfam family "Bacterial small subunit ribosomal RNA", at positions 524 to 776 of the family's 1533-position model. The record is from RNAcentral.
GACGAACCGUCCAAACGUUAUUCGGAAUCGCUGGGCUUAAAGGGUGCGUAGGCGGCGCGGAAAGUUGGGUGUGAAAUCCCUCGGCUCAACCGAGGAACUGCGCCCAAAACUGCCGUGCUCGAGGGAGAUAGAGGUGAGCGGAACUUAGGGUGGAGCGGUGAAAUGCGUUGAUAUCCUAAGGAACACCGGUGGCGAAAGCGGCUCACUGGAUCUCUUCUGACGCUGAGGCACGAAAGCUAGGGUAGCGAACGGG